Long non-coding RNA from Lagenorhynchus albirostris (white-beaked dolphin), 522 nucleotides. RefSeq lists it as uncharacterized. The record is from RefSeq and is a predicted model, not a curated record. Lineage: Eukaryota; Metazoa; Chordata; Mammalia; Artiodactyla; Delphinidae. The transcript is spliced from 4 exons.
CGAGUGCUCACCCUGCUUUGCUGUGUAACCUUCCCCAAGGCUCUUACCCUCUCUGGGCCUCUCCUACAUCAUCUGCAGUGCCUGCUUUGUGGGAUUGCAAGGAUCAAAGGAUAAACCUGGAAGCGAGGCAGCGUUCACCAUGAUGCAGUGAGGAGCCCAAGGCCCUGAGAGGUCAUAUGACUCACUCAAGGUCGUCCUGCCGUAGCAGAGAUGCGAUGAAGCCCUGCCUUUAUACAGGGCUGAGGGAGUUCAAACGGACUUCCGCCCACGCCUGCUCCCCGCAUCGGCCUGUCAGAUGCCCACCUCAGAGGCCUGGUGGAGGCCGCGACCCCUGGAGGCUGGACCUUCCGAGGAGGCUCUGACCACCUUCACCAGGAAAGGAAGUUGAUGGGUGCCAUGAGGGAUGCUGUCCUGUCUUUAACUGAUUCCAUCCCGACAAUCACCUGAAGAGGAUCAGAGAGGUUUUAUAUCCAACCCCAUAUCACACAGCUACCGAGUGGUGAGACAGAUAUGAAACCCAUA